UACGUAGGGCGCAAGCGUUGUCCGGAAUUAUUGGGCGUAAAGAGCUCGUAGGUGGUUUGUCGCGUUGUUCGUGAAAACCGGGGGCUUAACCCUCGGCGUGCGGGCGAUACGGGCAGACUUGAGUACUGCAGGGGAGACUGGAAUUCCUGGUGUAGCGGUGGAAUGCGCAGAUAUCAGGAGGAACACCGGUGGCGAAGGCGGGUCUCUGGGCAGUAACUGACGCUGAGGAGCGAAAGCGUGGGGGAGCGAACAGG
RNAcentral lists this ribosomal RNA (254 nucleotides) under uncultured bacterium. Its description in RNAcentral is "partial 16S ribosomal RNA". It matches the Rfam family "Bacterial small subunit ribosomal RNA", at positions 524 to 776 of the family's 1533-position model. The record is from RNAcentral.